Molecule: unclassified non-coding RNA, 472 nt
Filed under: Hevea brasiliensis (rubber tree)
Lineage: Eukaryota; Viridiplantae; Streptophyta; Magnoliopsida; Malpighiales; Euphorbiaceae
Source: RNAcentral
UGCAAAUUGCAGAUCCAAGAAAAAUGGCAGACCGAAAGAGUUAGAUCCAACAGCAAAAUUGAUUUCAGAGAUCUUGCAGCAGCACCACCUACCGAGCAAUGAAGAAGCAAGCUACAUCAUCGUCAUCAUCAACAACCAAGCCCGCAAACACUGUUUUGCCAUAUCAAACCUCAAGACUCCGGGACCACUACCUGAUAGGCAAGAAACUGGGCCAAGGCCAAUUUGGCACUACAUAUCAAUGUACCAAUAAGGCCACAAACAAGCAAUAUGCUUGCAAAUCAAUCCCAAAGAGAAAGCUUCUUUGUAAAGAGGACUAUGAGGAUGUGUGGAGAGAGAUCCAGAUCAUGCACCAUCUCUCCGAGCACCCAAAUGUGGUGCAAAUCAAGGGGACCUAUGAGGAUUCCAUGUUUGUGCACUUAGUCAUGGAGUUGUGUGCAGGUGGUGAGCUUUUUGAUAGGAUUGUGGCAAAGGG